Molecule: long non-coding RNA, 719 nt
Filed under: Coturnix japonica (Japanese quail)
Lineage: Eukaryota; Metazoa; Chordata; Aves; Galliformes; Phasianidae
Description: lncRNA (ENSCJPG00005000926.1)
Source: RNAcentral
CUUGAUAGGAGUUGCUUGUCCUAUCUUAUCUGAGGAUGUUGAUAGAUGUCACUUAGUAUUGUGUCUCCACUUUCACAUUCGCAUAAAAUGCAUAAAAGUUAUUAUUUUUUCUUUUUUUCUUUACAUCCUUUUUUCUGAUAUUUUCUUUGUAGUGAUCAAUCUCAUAUUUUUAAUACUGAGGCAUGCCUGAUUUAACGUGCAAGGUAUGUGUAGGACACCAAGUUGUGCUGAGCAGAUGGAAGAGGAGCCAGGACUGAUGGACAUGAUUGGAUGCUGUGCCGGUGUUCAAGAUACUGUGGUGGAGAUUUGGCUUGGGCAUUACUUGGGAGAACUUCAGCACAUGAUCCUGUAGCUGAUUUGUCUGAUUUAUUCUUGGAGAUUUCUGAAUGGAAAAUGACUGUCAAGUUCCUGAUUAUCUCAUUUGUUAAACUGUGGAAUCUAUGUAGAAUCUAUGUACCAACAGAAAAGCGAUGACAACCAGUCUCCUCCAGCAUUCAAUGGAGUACUAGUAAGUACUAACAGUAUUACUUAGGUGCACCUGGAGUUACAUCAUUCAUGCAGAUCAGAUCUGAAGAAGGUGUGCUGUUAAGUCCUGUGUGUGUUUGUAGUUUAUUAUUUUGCCUUCUACUUGAAUUUGUGAUGCUUGUAAAGUCUUAUGUUGAGGAGAUAUCAGUGUGCUGUCUCCCUAAGAGAAGGCAGGACUAUCAUCUCUUGAAAUG